RNAcentral lists this unclassified non-coding RNA (257 nucleotides) under plant metagenome. RNAcentral describes it as "partial contains 5.8S ribosomal RNA, internal transcribed spacer 2, and large subunit ribosomal RNA". The record is from RNAcentral.
CUCGGCGAAGUCCUCCACGAAGUCCAUCACCUCGUUCACGUCCUGGCCAUAGGCCCGGGCGACGAACUUGAGGUUCUCGCGUCCCGACAUGAGCGGGUGGAAUCCGCCCGCGAAGCCGAGCGGCCAUGAGACCCUGACGGUGCGUCUGACCCGGCCCGCGCUCGGCACCUCCGUGCCCGCGAUGAGCCGCAUCAGGGUCGACUUGCCCGCGCCGUUGAUGCCCAGGAUGCCGUAACUGGUUCCCGGCUCGAACUGGG